This is a long non-coding RNA of Sciurus carolinensis (gray squirrel), 627 nucleotides long. RefSeq lists it as uncharacterized. Lineage: Eukaryota; Metazoa; Chordata; Mammalia; Rodentia; Sciuridae. The record is from RefSeq and is a predicted model, not a curated record. The transcript has 3 exons.
GGUCGUCCUAUGGCAACGCAGCGGCCUGGGAUGAGGAGCACCCGUAGUGGCGGGCGCGCUCCACCUCUGAUUCGCUUGUCGCUGGGCUCUGCGGACAGCAAACUCUCUACUCCUAAACCUGAUGUGAUUUCCCUAUUGGAUCAAGGCAAAGAACCAUGGAUGGUUUCGAGGGACAUUAUGGAAGGAUGGUGCCCAGAAGAAUAAUUGGAAAUAUACUGCCAGCUCAAGACCCUUUUGGUGUCUGGAACUUUGUGAUGAAGUGGAAGCAGAGCAAGAGAGUAUGUAACAGCUCUGAGAAGAAGAUCACAGACUUACUCUCUGGAAAAUUCAAUAGUCCAUUAUGAGGGCAGCAACUGAAAGUAGAGGAAUUUUGUAUCUUUUUAUAGGCAGGUGAGUACAGGGUAAAUGCCACCAUGUAAAAGUAUCUUAGCAGACUGGGCUCCAUAAACUCUUUUUUUGGCCGGGGGAAGGGCAGUGCUAGGGAUUGAACCCCGGGUGCUGUACUAGUGCACUACAUUCCCAGGCCACCAAAGCCUUUUUCAAAAUUUAAGCUAAGUUCUCACAGGGCACAGUGGUACAUGCCUGAAAUCCCAGAGGCAUGGGAGGCUGAGACAGCAGGACCUCAAG